Molecule: long non-coding RNA, 251 nt
Filed under: Lathyrus oleraceus (garden pea)
Lineage: Eukaryota; Viridiplantae; Streptophyta; Magnoliopsida; Fabales; Fabaceae
Description: Pisum sativum (pea) long non-coding RNA (PSAT_LNC041080)
Source: RNAcentral
CAUAUCCAACAUCAACAUAACAUGUCAUUAUAAGAAAUUUUGAAACAUGACGAAAGACACAACAUUCUAAAUUCCCCAGUCUUACACAUCAGAGCAGACACCGCCAUUAAAAUAAAACGGAAUACUUCAUCUUCCACUCACAUCUGAGCUCUUACAACGGAUUAUCCGCAUGUUACCAACGUGGAGGAAACAUUCAAAUAGAAGGGGCGAUAUAUCAUAAUUAUAUAAAGGAAAGCAUGAUAAUAAUUAAG